Molecule: ribosomal RNA, 261 nt
Filed under: uncultured bacterium
Lineage: Bacteria
Description: partial 16S ribosomal RNA
Rfam family: Bacterial small subunit ribosomal RNA
Source: RNAcentral
CCGGCACGGGUGAGUAACACGUAUGCGACCUGCCCGUAGCAGGGGGAUAAGCGGAAGAAAUUCCGUCUAAUACCGCGUAAUAUCUUUCGGGGGCAUUCCUGAGGGAUUAAAGGAAGCGAUUCCGGCUACGGAUGGGCAUGCGGCGCAUUAGCUAGUCGGCGGGGUAACGGCCCACCGAGGCGACGAUGCGUAGGGGUUCUGAGAGGAAGGUCCCCCACACUGGUACUGAGACACGGACCAGACUCCUACGGGAGGCAGCAG